Molecule: small nuclear RNA, 118 nt
Filed under: Solanum tuberosum (potato)
Lineage: Eukaryota; Viridiplantae; Streptophyta; Magnoliopsida; Solanales; Solanaceae
Description: snRNA U5
Rfam family: U5 spliceosomal RNA
About the family: U5 RNA is a component of both types of known spliceosome. The precise function of this molecule is unknown, though it is known that the 5' loop is required for splice site selection and p220 binding, and that both the 3' stem-loop and the Sm site are important for Sm protein binding and cap methylation.
Source: Rfam by way of RNAcentral
AGCCAUGCAGUGAGCACAUAGCGAACUAUUCUUUCACCUUUUACUAAAGAAUACCGUGUGCGCAUUGCAAUUAGUGGCAUACGUCAAUUUUUGGAGGAAUUCUCUUCUUUAGAGUACC